UCUCCUGACCUCAUGAGCUACCAUGCCCGGCCAUUCAAAAUUCUUAAUGCUAUAAUAUUUAGCCCUACUGGCACAUUGGAUUUUAAAUGAUCCGUUUUUAAAAUAAGAAAACUGUAGCCAUUUUUAACCUGUCUUGAUGCCAUUUUAUAUUAAUGUUUGCUUUAUAAGUGGUUCCCCUUGGUCUGUAAAAAUUAGGUGCUGAUUUUUAUAAUCUUAAAGAUAUCUUUGCUAAGAAAAAGUAUCUUAAAACAUUCUCCUGGAGGGAAGGUGGGCAAAGUGGUGAAUUGGGAAGGUUUUGGAUGUGUUAGAUGGACUGGUGGUUGAAGAGACUGAGGGUAGAGAUGUAGACACCAGUUAAGACUUUGAAUUGUACAGGCCUGAGGUAUAGGGGGAAUCGACUAGGCUAACAGCAAAAGUGAAGAGAAUAGAAAAGAAACAGUACUUGAAAGCAUAGACGAAAUAUAGCAAAGCAGGAAACCUAGUUGAUGGCAUUUCAAGGCAUCAUCUACUUUUGGAUUUGUUGGAUAUGUGUAGAAUAAAAGAACAUUUAAUUAGGUGAUCCCUUAAUUGGCUGAAUGAUUGGAUUAAAUAUCAGUCUGUUAGUGGUUUCAAAGCAGUGUUUGUAGGUCUGUCUUGUUCAUGUCUUCCAGAUUUUCUGUAAAACAGUUGUUUCAAUAAGGAAAUAGAAGGAAAGCUCGUCACUGUCUUGGGCAGCAUUAAGCUGAGAAGGGUUGAGUAUAAACCAGAUGACAAAAUCAGGAGUCAAACUGAUAUGUGAUGAGAUGACUAAAACAAUAGUUUAAUAUAGAUACAUGUAAAAUCCUGCUCUUUGGUACCUAAAGUCAGAAACAAAAUGACAAGAGGAGGCAGAUGUCUACUAAAGUGUGGAAAAACUAUAGGUUUUGUUGACAGUGAGAAUGGAAAAGGUGCAUUCUAGAGUGCUGAAUCCUGACCUUGAGGGACAUAUGAAGGUUUGGAAUAAAUGCAAUGAGGAAUGUUCCUGAAAAGAAUAAGAGACAAAGGCUAGUUUGAGCAUCAGUGAGGAAAACCAGGACAUGAGUAUACAUUUUGGUCACCAGCAAGACUGAGAUGCUGUAAAGCUGAGGACAGGUAUGAAGUUGAAGGUGGUUCAGGUUUGGGUACCAAGGUAACAUAACCUGAAGAAGGCAAAGCCAUCUAGGUCAGUCACAGCAGGAGUGAGGUGGCCAACUGGAGCAGAUACCUCAACGAAGCUAUGAAUGGCUCUUCAUUUGCUCCUUAACAACUCUAACCUCACAUAGUUGUCACUUGCUUCUCUUUUUCCAUUGCUAUCAGCACAUUAUGUGUUCACAUGUUCUUCCUGCUCCUGUAAAUUCCUCAAGGCCCCUUUUGUACUUACAUCUCUUCACAGUGCUUGCACCACCCUGCCUCUCCUUCCUCGACGCAACAGAUAUGUUAAAAAAAAAAAAAAGUGCUGGUUUUUUUCCAAAGGAAAAUCACCUCUCCAGGAGAAGGUGUUGAGGCUCAAAGAGUGGAUCUCUUGAGGUGUAGGAAGAGGCACACUUUAGAACUAGCAGUUCACCAGAACUGGGUUCUAAAUGGUUCCAACUCUUAUACCAGCUUUUAAUAUCUUGAGCUCUCAGUUUUCUCAACAGGAUAUGAGUAUUGCAAUUUCUGCCCUGCUUUAGAAGUUAAGAUGAACUUGAAAGUGUGAAAACACUUUUAACAAUUAUAAAGCACAGUGCAUGGUAAGCCUAUUGACUGGGCAACUGAAACAAUUCUGUGAAGAACCGUUCUGUCUACCCCAGGAUGUUUGGCUUAAAUAAAAAUUUCCAAAGUUGAAAAAGACCCUCAAGUCCCAACCGGGUCAUAAAUACCAGGCAUUAUGAUGGCUACCCAGGAAAUUCAUCUCAUUAGAAUAAUAGUAUUUGCAUCCAUUUCCAUUUUUUCUGUUUUUAGUCAAUAAUAGAAUCUUUUUACCUUCUAAAAAGAAGCAGCUUGCUAUCUUCUGGGUGGUAAAUAAAUGAGUGUGCUAGUGAUCCAGUCACUCAGUUUUUUAUUAUUUAUCAUUUAACUGAACGCUAGAGCUACUCUGAUGGUUUGGGACCAUUACCCAGCUUUCAUUGCUCUUUUGUUCCUCGUCAUAUCUUCAUUCCCAUAAUGAUCCAUGGGGUAGAUCAGUACUUCCCAAACAUUGCUGUACAUUGGCGUCACUAGGGAGAACUGUAAAACAUACUGGUACCAGGCUCCCAGCUCAAGCAUUGUGGUCGAGGGUGUGGCUUGAGUGAGCACUGUUGCUUAAAAAAUUUCCAAUGAUUCUAAUAUGUGGCCACACCUAGGGAACUACUGAGUGAAACAGGGAAGCAUUGAGAACACAAUGAUGAAAUGCAAGAAGUUAAUGAGCGUUAAAGUACACAGGUCAGUAUAUUAAACUUUGGUUUUUGUUCUUCUUUUUAGAGACAGGGUACAGUUCUAGCUCACUGCAGCCUCGAACUUCUGAGCUCAAGUGAUCCUCCUGCCUCAGCCGAGUAGCUAGGACAACAGAAACCAUUGCACGUCUGCCCUAUCCAGGAACUAUUCUAGGCAGAUGGAGAACCAAGAUGAGAAAGAAUUCCCCGUAUCUGAGACUGAUGCAGGAACAAUUAUAAUACCACAAUAAGUGCAAUAAUGAUGUCAAACAGGGUAUGGUGAAAGGUUAAAUUCAACAAACCUGGGGACCCAGGGUUAAAGAAUAUCAAAGAAAGUCCACGGACAAGAAUUGAGAGACGGACGAGGUUUUGCUAUAUGGGAAAAAUGGAGAGCCCAGACUGAAAACAGCUGCUACAAUGAAGCAGGAGAGACAGUAUUUCUUCAUGAUCUACAAACUCAUAAGGUAAGCAAUAGUGCUGAAUUCCCUACUCUUCAAGAUUUAUUGAGUUACAGCUGUUUAAAAUACAGUAAAAAUCUGUCUAACACAAGCUAAUGGGAAAGACUUAUCUGAUUAACCGGAUUCUUUGAGAUAGGGGAUUGUAUUGCUUUUAGUUAUAUAAACAUCACUUAAAUGGAGAACGUAGCUGUGUUUGAUACUAAAUUUUGGAAACUGACAAUGAAACAUUGGCUUAUAAAUGGGCGCUUUUGGCAUGUUGUUUUCUAGUAUUUAAACCUCUCCCCUUACAAUCUUGAUUAUGCUGUGAAUUUGCUAAGCUCACUUUCCUUUUGCUGUCAUCUAAAGCAAAAUAAAUCUUGAAUAAUAAGUAGCAUGCUAUUUUGUGCAAAAUAAUACUGAUAACAUUUUGAUUAGCAAAAUGAAGUAAUAUGCCUGAAAUAAAUAAUAUGUUUAGUAAAUAUGUACUCAUGGGUCAAUCUGAUGACAGAAAGGAAAAGAAAGCUUAAAGAUAAAUAUCUCUGUGUCUUCAAUGCCAUCUGUACAACUUCAUGUCAAGAUCUAACAUAAUUAGGAAAAAAAAAAAAACUCCGUCUUAACGCCAACACAACUAAUUCCAUGAAGUUUGGAUCAUCACAAAACUCAAAUUGUUUUAUGAUUUCUUUUAUCCAUGUCUUUUAACUGUUUAGUACAUUUUAGUGUAUAUACAGUUUUAUGGAAUGUGGAGGCAGCAUGUGAUUUAAUAUUUUCUAUCCAGACUGUUUACUUUGUAGUCAAACAUUCUUCAAAAACAUUUUAGUCUCCCCUCCACUCCCCAACUCUGAUUUUCUAUUCAAGGCUGUCAGUUCCUAUUUAGAAAGGUGAAUUGAGACCUGGAGUCUCAAGGCCUCUGAUACAGAAGGAACUUUUGCCAUCCUUAAUAGUUUUCUUUGAAUUUGCUGCCAGGUCUGAUUCUACACAUAAAUAUUUAAAUGAGUUGGUGGAAAAAAACCUUUUUUUUUUAAACAAGAGUGAGGAAGCAAGGAUACCAUAUAGUAAUUUAUGACAUGAGAAAGAACUUUCAUUCCUUUAUACUUCUUUUUGCAAACUUCGUGGUUAUUGUCAAAUUUGCAGAUGUCUUUCCUACUGCUCUACAUUAAACUUUCAGUCUCCUGUGGAAUUGCUGAGUCAACCAGGAGAUAAUGCACCACAUUUGCAGGAGCCCAUUCUGUUUUAAUUAUCUCCCCUUAAUGUCGCCAAGGAGGUGGGGUUGAGAGGACCCUUUGCUGUGACCCUUAACUCUUGGAAAGUGAGCAUCUUCUUAUGAGAGCCAGCUUUGAGCAGUUCACUUCAGACUGCUGACAUGUUUCUUUUUUACCUCUUCAAAAAGCAGAGCCUGCUUCGGAAUGCAGUGGAAAUAACCCACCACAGAAGAAAUAGUCUGUAAACCGAAAAACUUGUGAAUGUUGGCUUUUUGCCACAGCCUUCUGCAGGGAAGGAAGAAACCUUGUCUCUUUCCACCACCUCACUUCAUCUUUCCAGCCAGAGGUCACUCACCCAAUUUAGACAGGAAGAAGGCCCUGAGAGGGGAGCCAGGCCCUAUGCUUACUGGUCCAUGCCUGAAUGGUCCAAUUGGAAUAUAAUGUGAACCACAUAAGUAAUUUUUAAUUUUCUAGUAGCUGCAUUGAAAAAGUAAAAAGACAUAGAUAAAAUCAAUAAUAUAUUUUAACUCGUAUCCAUAAUAUUAUAAUUUCACCAUGCAAUCAAUAGAAAAUUUAUUAACAAGAUAUUUUGCAUUCUUUUUAACAGAAUCUUCAAACUCAGGUAUUUUACACUUAUAGCAUAUCUCAAUUCAAACAUUAAAUUUUCAUUAGAAAUACAUAUUUGGUUAUUUAAUUUUUAUAAAAUUAACAGCUGAAAAGAUAGAUUCACAAGUUGUUUCAAGUAUACUAAAAAUUGCUUUUUAAUAACUGAAGUGUCAGCUUUUUAAAAUAAAUUGAAAUUAAGUAAAAGAAAAAAAAAGAUUUUCAUAGGUCCAUAGCCACAUUUAAAGGGCUCAACUGCCACGUGGCUGAUGGCUACCAUAUCAACAGCAGAGAAUCAUACACUUGUGAGUUAACGUGUGAUCCGCAAAAUGGCAGCAUCAGCAUCACCUAGGAUGUUAUUAAAAAGGCAGAAUCUCGGGCCUCACUCCAGACCUAUGGAAUUGGAAUCCACAUUUUAACAAGACCACCAGGUGACUCAUAUGCAAAAUAUAGUUGGGCAAUACUGAUCUAUUUAACACAUCAGGAAAAUUAGUAUUAUUGCAUUCUUUUUACAGAUGAGUAUAGUGAGGCUCAGCAAAUGUGCUGAAAAUCACAGAGUUAAUAAGUGAGGGAGCUGAAAUUCAAACAAAAGCCUUGCCCAUUUUUAAUCCCAUAUCUUUCUAAUACUUAUCACAUUCUUUCUAAUAGUUGUCACCUAAAGCAUGGAACAUGGUACUUGCUAGUGGUAUGAAAGGUAAUUUUAAAUCAUGCCCAGAGAGCAUUUUUAAAAGCACCAAAAUACGAAGUUUGAAAAAGUGUGUCCCUUUUCCAUCGUUUUUUAAUUUAGAAAAACUAGACAGUAAAGUCAAGGAUCAGAUCGCUGCAUGCUCCCGUUAUGUUUUCAAUAACUAACAUUUGCUGAAAGUGUGCUCCAGCCUCAGAACCUUUGGCAAAGUAUCUGGCUAAGUCUUCCUAGCUUUAUUUCCUUUCAUUACAUUUAUUCUUACUUUUACCUUCUAUUUAUGGCAAAUGAUCCUGGCUUUUCAUUUAUAGGCUGAUAUAUAAAGUAGAUGUAUUUAAGAUAGAGCAGUUGUAAAUGUGCAUACAGAUGGCUCACAAAUAUGGCCACAUGGGAAGGAAACCUGGGAAUGACUGAGGUAUGAGAAACACACCAGAGACAGUCACCAGCAAUUCAAGCCCUAGAGAGAAGACUGAAGUACCCCGAGUAUAGUGAACUUUUGUUGUGAGUCAGCUGAACUUGUCUCCCAAUGCCAGUGCCCCUUCAAAGCAUUUAACAAUCAUUAUAAUUGUGUGUGAGUGAGUGUGUGUGUGUGUGUGUGUGUGUAUUGUGGGUGCUAACUGUAUUUGUUUGGUUGCUGAUAUGGUUUGGCUGUGUCCUGACCCAAAUCUCUUUUGAAUUGCAGUUCCCAUAAUCCCUACGUGUCAUGGGAGAUAACUGGUGGGAGGUAAUCGAAUCUUGGGGGCAGUUACCCCACUGCUGUUCUUGUGAUAGUGAGUGGGUUCUCAUGAGAUCUGAUGGUUUUAGAAGGAGCUUUUGCCUCUUUGCUCAGCAUUUCUCUCUCCUGCCACCACGUGAAGAGAAUAUGUUUGUUUCCUCUUCGGCCAUGAUUAUAAUUUUCCUGAGGCCUCCCAGUGAUGCAGAACUGUGAGUCAAUUAACCCUUUUUCUGUUAUAAAUUACCCAGCCUUAGAUAUUUCUUCAUAGCAGCGUGAGAACAUACUAAUACAGUUGGCCAGCAUUUUCUACAUCCCAGCACAGAAAAACAAAAAGUCAGAUACCUACCCUCCUCAACACAACAGUAAGGCUAUGGGCUUAAGACAUAAGCCCAGACAAUUGGACACUGCUGCUGGUUGAUGAAUAUAGAACAAGUGCAUUAAAGGAGCAAGGGCAGCUUACAGUUCAUAUGGCCAUGGUGGAGACAGCACAAUGGCUGCAUUAAUGUCCUAUGGUGGCAGUGAUUUCAGUGGCAGUAUUCAGCAAGGGCAACAGGAAUGCCCUGACCAGGUUUUAACCCAGCUCAGGAGCCCAUACCCUCUUAGUAAUGCUCUAUUUUAUAGGUUCAAAUGCUCUGUGGUGUCUGUGGGUACACAGCAGUGUUCUGAAAGUACCUCUUCCAGAGGUAACCAGAGUUGGUUUCUGUCUUUUGCAAUUAAAAACCUGGACUGUUAGAGUGGGAUUCUUUAAUUGUCCACCUACCCCACUAAACUACCAGCCCCCAUGAAAGUGGAGUUUAUAUCCACUUGUUCACAUUGUGUAAUCCCCUGUGGCCUGUUCCAUGGCUUCAAAACAUAGUUGUUGCUCAGUAAUUAUUUGGUGAAUGAAUGAAUGAAUGAGUGUUGAGCAUAUAGGACAUGCCAAUAAAAGAGGAAUGUAGAAAAGUGA
This is a long non-coding RNA of Sapajus apella (tufted capuchin), 6969 nucleotides long. RefSeq lists it as uncharacterized. The record is from RefSeq and is a predicted model, not a curated record. The transcript has 2 exons. NCBI's taxonomy places the organism in Eukaryota, Metazoa, Chordata, Mammalia, Primates, Cebidae.